GACGAACGCUGGCGGUGUGCUUAACACAUGCAAGUCGAACGGAAAGGCCCUGCUUUUGUGGGGUGCUCGAGUGGCGAACGGGUGAGUAACACGUGAGUAACCUGCCCUUGACUUUGGGAUAACUUCAGGAAACUGGGGCUAAUACCGGAUAGGAGCUCCUGCUGCAUGGUGGGGGUUGGAAAGUUUCGGCGGUUGGGGCUGGACUCGCGGCUUAUCAGCUUGUUUGUGGGGUAGUGGCUUACCAAGGCUUUGACGGGUAGCCGGCCUGAGAGGGUGACCGGCCACAUUGGGACUGAGAUACGGCCCAGACUCCUACGGGAGGCAGCAGUGGGGAAUAUUGCACAAUGGGCGGAAGCCUGAUGCAGCAACGCCGCGUGCGGGAUGACGGCCUUCGGGUUGUAAACCGCUUUCGCCUGUGACGAAGCGUGAGUGACGGUAAUGGGUAAAGAAGCACCGGCUAACUACGUG
This 468-nucleotide ribosomal RNA is filed under the name uncultured bacterium. Its description in RNAcentral is "partial 16S ribosomal RNA". It matches the Rfam family "Bacterial small subunit ribosomal RNA", at positions 28 to 507 of the family's 1533-position model. The record is from RNAcentral.